Non-coding RNA from Pelobates cultripes (western spadefoot toad), 227 nucleotides. The record is from the annotation of a GenBank genome assembly. NCBI's taxonomy places the organism in Eukaryota, Metazoa, Chordata, Amphibia, Anura, Pelobatidae.
GGCCACCUCUUCAGGAAGUAGUAAGGCAUCCAUCAAUUCUUUGAUAGCUGCGCCAUGUUUCACAGGAGUACCUGUUGCUGUAAGGAACCCCCUGGUAUUCCAGAUUAAGCCAAAGUUAUGUGCCACGCCCAGGGCAUACCUUGAGUCUGUGUAAAUAUUAACAGGCUUCCCUUCAGACAUCUUGCAUGCCACCGUAAGGGCUAUUAGUUCGGCUUCUUGUGCUGACU